AUUGAACGCUGGCGGCAUGCUUUACACAUGCAAGUCGAACGGUAACAGGCCUUGGGGUGUUGACGAGUGGCGAACGGGUGGGUAUUGCACCGGAACGUACCCAGUGGUGGGGGUUAACGCAGCGAAAGUUGUGCUAAUACACCUUGUGACCGGAGGAUUAAACCGGGGGACCGCGGAGCAUAGUUUGGCCUCUAGCCUUGGGGUCGGCCGAUGGCGGAUUACCUAGUUGGUGGGGUAAAGGCCUACCAAGGCGACGAUCCGUAGCUGGUCUGAGAGGACGACCAGCCACACUGCGACUGCAACACGGCCCAGACUCCUACGGUAGGCAGCGGUGGGGAUACUUGGACAAUGGGCGCAAGCCUGAUCCAGCCAUGCCGCGUGCGGGAAGAAGGCCUUCGGGUUGUAAACCGCUUUUGGCAGGAACGAAACGGUGUCCGCUAAUACCGAGCGCUAAUGACGGUACCUGCAGAAUAAGCACCGGCUAACUACGUG
RNAcentral lists this ribosomal RNA (492 nucleotides) under uncultured bacterium. RNAcentral describes it as "partial 16S ribosomal RNA". It matches the Rfam family "Bacterial small subunit ribosomal RNA", at positions 30 to 507 of the family's 1533-position model. The record is from RNAcentral.